GACGAACCGUGCGAACGUUAUUCGGAAUCACUGGGCUUAAAGCGCGUGUAGGCGGAAGGGCACGUCCGUUGCUGAAAUCCCCCGGCUCAACCGGGGAACGGGCGCGGAUACGACUCUUCUGGAGGGGCGUAGGGGGACCUGGAACUUCCGGUGGAGCGGUGAAAUGCGUUGAGAUCGGAAGGAACGCCCGUGGCGAAAGCGGCGCGCUGGACCUCUUCUGACGCUGAGGCGCGAAAGCCAGGGGAGCAAACGGG
This 254-nucleotide ribosomal RNA is filed under the name uncultured bacterium. RNAcentral's name for it is "partial 16S ribosomal RNA". It matches the Rfam family "Bacterial small subunit ribosomal RNA", at positions 524 to 776 of the family's 1533-position model. The record is from RNAcentral.